Molecule: ribosomal RNA, 798 nt
Filed under: uncultured organism
Description: bacterial SSU rRNA
Rfam family: Bacterial small subunit ribosomal RNA
Source: RNAcentral
CGAACGCUGGCGGCGUGGCUAAAACAUGCAAGUCGUACGGAAAGGUUGCUUCUGAUCCUUCGGGUGACGAAGCGAUACUCGAGUGGCGAAAGGGCGAGGAAUACAUGGGCAACGUGCCUUAUGCACGAGGAUAACUGCGGGAAGCUGCAGUUAAUACUCGAUAAGACCACAGCAUCUUCGGAUGCAGCGGUCAAAGGUGGGGACCUUCGGGCCUACCGGCAUUAGAGCGACCCAUGUCCUAUCAGCUUGUUGGUGAGGUAACGGCUCACCAAGGCGACGACGGGUACCGGGACUGAGAGGUUGACCCGGCGCAUCGGGACUGAGACACUGCCCGGACUCCUACGGGAGGCUGCAGUAACGAAUAUUCCGCAAUGGGCGAAAGCCUGACGGAGCGACGCCGCGUGUGGGAGAAAGCCCUUCGGGGUGUAAACCACUGUCAGGGAUUACCAAGCAAAGUUGGCGAAUAGCCUUCUGCGUUGAGGCGUCCCAGAGGAAGCCACGGCUAACUUCGUGCCAGCAGCCGCGGUAAUACGAAGGUGGCGAGCGUUGUUCGGAAUCACUGGGCUUACAGGGCACGCAGGCGGACUGUCAAGCGUCAUGUGAAAGCCCCCGGCUUAACCGGGGAAUUGCUGGGCGAACUGGCAGUCUUGAGGCAGGUAAGGGCGAGUGGAACUCUUGGUGGAGCGGUGGAAUGCGUAGAUCUCCAGAGGAACGCCGGAGGCGAAAGCGACUCGCUGGGCCUGACCUGACGCUUAGGUUGCGAAGCCACGGAGAGCGAACCGGGACUCGAUACCCCGG